Molecule: ribosomal RNA, 336 nt
Filed under: Triticum aestivum (bread wheat)
Lineage: Eukaryota; Viridiplantae; Streptophyta; Magnoliopsida; Poales; Poaceae
Description: partial small subunit ribosomal RNA
Source: RNAcentral
AUGAGAUCUGUCCCGACAUCAUUGCUCUUGUAUGGAAGAGAAAAAUACCAUUCAAGAAAUGUUGUGAUGGUUAUUGUACAGACUGAACUUACUGGAAUAGUUUUUCAACUGAAACUAGACCUGGUCCCUGUUCAUAAAUAUAGAUGCAGCAAGUCAGCUGUGGACUCAUACUUGUCGCCGUCCUCCCAGGACUGCUUCGAACAAGUAAACCACUAUCAGUAUCAGUUUCAGAUGAUGAGAUGCUUUCGUGUCAAUUUCCUCACAUCAAUCAGACACGUAGUCAAAUUAAAAAUUGAGCAAAUUUGUCAACUGAUUCCCGACACUAUUCUGAAGUAA